AUAACUCAGUGCAAACUUAUCAUAGGAACUGGGCACAAGAGUCAGCUAGAAAUUCUGCAAGUUAAUAUAGCUCAAAUCCAUAUGGCAUUUACUUCCUGCUGAUACCUCCACUCCAGGAAUCUCUUCAGAAAACUAACCAAGACUCAGAAAGAAAUACAUAACAUGUUCUUUGCUCUGUGUUCUCACAUACCUAAGCCCCAUUUGCAAAAUCAGAACCCCAGAGAAUACUUUGGUGAAGACCAGGAAAUUCUAACUCCAGUUCAACCUUAGUGUUGAAGAAUUUCCUAUUCUGGUAGUCACUGAAAUGAAUCAACCUUCUGUGCUGCAUGCCUCGCAGAAGCACUACUCCCUAAAUGCAUUCAUAUCCCCCUGGACUACAGAUGCCAAGCCACAGUUCUUCUGUGCUACCAGCAGUAAAGUUUGUGAAGUUGGGGCAUAGCUAGUAAUUUUGCAGACUAUGUUUAACCAAAGCACAGUACUGCUCAUAGUUCCACAGCUCUCCUGGCUCUAAAGGGCUGAAAAAGUAGCACAAACAUACUCCAUUUGAUAAAGAAGAUGUGAUUUUGAAUACACAAAGGAAACAGUUCUUUGGAGUAGGAAAGUACAUUUUAAUCUGGUGACUCUCAGCAAACAACUUCACACUGGAUGAAGACAAACUAGAUGACAAUUCUACUAUUCUGGCAAUGAGUUCAUGAGGAAAAGGAAAAACAGAAAAUCCAUUCAUACACACUCUUUACUAAAAUGACACAACUUGCUUUCCUGCCACCCCCUCCCCCCCAUUUGAUGCCUGUCCUUUUGUUGUCUCAGUCUUUUUCAUAUUAAGUUCCUACAUUAGUCAUGUGCUUUUCAGAGCAUCUGAUUGUAUUUUAGCCCACGCAAAAUCAAUUUUAGGAUGGUGCCCCCAUGAAAGAUUUACGAAGAUGCCUCUGUGAGAGGUGGCUGCUUCCAGAUGUGAGUAUAGCACUAGUACAACCACCUCUGCAUUUUAAAUUUUUACAAACAUGUGGUUUCCAUUUUGGUAAAUUCUACAUGUCAGUCAGUUCAAAAGACCUGAUACAUUUUAUAUUACAGUUAUUCAAUAAUAGGCAUUGUCCUGGCAUAGUUCCAGCCCAAGGGCAAGAGAAAGUGUUCUGACUAUGUUGGGAUUUGUUCAGCUCUUCUUCUUAAGUCUACAACAUCCUGAUGAGCCAUAUACACAAUAAAAUCAAAGUCAGUCACAGGAUGAUCUUUAGGUGGUGAACAUCUUGAAAACAAACAAAUAAAAGAAUAAAAAAGGAAGUGUGGGGGAAGGGUGUGCAGUAGGAUAAAAAUCUACAAGUAUGGAUGGAAAAAAUAAGAAUAUGAACUUCUUGUCCAUGGUAAAAAGGGCAUUUCAGCAGGAAGUAUUGAGAUUAUGCAUUGGCAAAAGUAAUGGUGCAUUGAAAUUAAUUGCCAUUAGUAAGCAUUUAUCACUGGAGGAUUUUUAUGAAGAAGAUACAGAAAUCAAUAGAGCUGUUGCUGUUUGGAAGAGGAGGUUGAGGUAGAUAACAUCAUACAUUCUGUUUGGUCAUAGAUGGCGGAAUAAAAAAAA
This is a long non-coding RNA of Oxyura jamaicensis (ruddy duck), 1570 nucleotides long. RefSeq lists it as uncharacterized. NCBI's taxonomy places the organism in Eukaryota, Metazoa, Chordata, Aves, Anseriformes, Anatidae. The record is from RefSeq and is a predicted model, not a curated record. The transcript is spliced from 2 exons.